Tinamus guttatus (white-throated tinamou) is the source of this 723-nucleotide non-coding RNA. The record is from RefSeq and is a predicted model, not a curated record. NCBI's taxonomy places the organism in Eukaryota, Metazoa, Chordata, Aves, Tinamiformes, Tinamidae.
CAGUCAAUGACAAAAACAACUGCUUAAAAUAAGGCACUUUUCCACAGAAGGAGGGGCAAACAGUAAGUAAGCAAAUAAAAUUAGUUAAAAGUUUUCUUCUACACAAAGAUAAGGCGUUCAGUGUCAGAACUUUAAGUAGUUUUAAGUAACCUCAUGUCAUUCUACCACUCUGCUAAUAGUAACCUCCCCAAGAAUUAACAGCAAUUUUUACAACAGGAUUUUUCCUUCUUUUGAAGUGGCACUAAGUAACAGCAGUGGAAAAAAUUAUUGGUUGUUUCAAGCUCUCAAAGUGGAUCAGUUAUUGCACAAUAAAUACCUCAUAGAGGUCAGUGUUUUUGUUUCUUUGUUUUUUAAAAAGCUAGGCUGAAUAUUUGUGUGUUAUUUAUAAAUUGUUUAUGUCUGGAAAUCUUCAAGUUUCAUGAUACAUCACUAAAGAAAUUAGCUACAUAAAAAUUUACAACAGGGACAUACAAAUAAAUACAAAACCUUUUGGACAGCCACAGUUUUGUUGAUGCUUUAUGGAAAGUAAUAAACUAGUUAAAGUGUCUAAGGCUUUAUAUACGAACUCAAGAGAAAGUAUGCAUCAGAGAACCAAGCGUUGAAUACAGUAGCCUAUCUCAGCAGCUUCAACACCUCCUGAAGCAAGAAUAGCUUGACACUUUCACCAGUGCAUGCCGCUCAAAGCAGAAUUCCGCAGCAUUUCGGACUACAUCCAACCUUACA